GUAACAAGGUCUCCGUAGGUGAACCUGCGGAGGGAUCAUUACACAAAUAUGAAGGCGGGCUGGAACCUCUCGGGGUUACAGCCUUGCUGAAUUAUUCACCCUUGUCUUUUGCGUACUUCUUGUUUCCUUGGUGGGUUCGCCCACCACUAGGACAAACAUAAACCUUUUGUAAUUGCAAUCAGCGUCAGUAACAAAUUAAUAAUUACAACUUUCAACAACGGAUCUCUUGGUUCUGGCAUCGAUGAAGAACGCAGCGAAAUGCGAUAAGUAGUGUGAAUUGCAGAAUUCAGUGAAUCAUCGAAUCUUUGAACGCACAUUGCGCCCUUUGGUAUUCCAAAGGGCAUGCCUGUUCGAGCGUCAUUUGUACCCUCAAGCUUUGCUUGGUGUUGGGCGUCUUGUCUCUAGCUUUGCUGGAGACUCGCCUUAAAGUAAUUGGCAGCCGGCCUACUGGUUUCGGAGCGCAGCACAAGUCGCACUCUCUAUCAGCAAAGGUCUAGCAUCCAUUAAGCCUUUUUUUCAACUUUUGACCUCGGAUC
RNAcentral lists this ribosomal RNA (536 nucleotides) under Ascomycota sp. FL-2010b. RNAcentral describes it as "eukaryotic LSU rRNA". The stretch from base 207 to 360 matches the Rfam family "5.8S ribosomal RNA". Lineage: Eukaryota; Fungi; Ascomycota. The record is from RNAcentral.